RNAcentral lists this ribosomal RNA (253 nucleotides) under uncultured bacterium. Its description in RNAcentral is "partial 16S ribosomal RNA". It matches the Rfam family "Bacterial small subunit ribosomal RNA", at positions 524 to 776 of the family's 1533-position model. The record is from RNAcentral.
UAAGUAGGAUGCAAGCGAUGUCCGGAUUUAUUGGGUUGAAAGGGUGCGUAGGCGACCUAUUAAGUUAGUGGUGAAAACGUUCGGCUUAACCGGAUACCCGCCAUUGAUACUGAUAGACUUGAGUGCGACAGAGGGUGUUGGAAUGUGUGGUGUAGCGGUGAAAUGCUUAGAUAUCACGCAGAACACCAAUUGCGAAGGCAGAUGCCUAUGUCGUAACUGACGCUGAGGCACGAAAGCGUGGGGAGCAAACAGG